This 253-nucleotide ribosomal RNA is filed under the name uncultured bacterium. Its description in RNAcentral is "partial 16S ribosomal RNA". It matches the Rfam family "Bacterial small subunit ribosomal RNA", at positions 524 to 776 of the family's 1533-position model. The record is from RNAcentral.
UACGUAGGGGGCAAGCGGUGUCCGGAUCUAUUGGGCGUAAAGCGCGCUCAGGCGGUCUCUUAAGUCUGAUGUGAAAGCCCACGGCUCAACCGUGGAAGGUCAUUGGAAACUGGGAGACUUGAGUGUAGGAGAGGAAAGUGGAAUUCCACGUGUAGCGGUGAAAUGCGUAGAGAUGUGGAGGAACACCAGUGGCGAAGGCGACUUUCGGGCCUAUAAUUGACUCUGAGGCGCGAAAGCGUGGGGAGCAAACAGG